This 252-nucleotide ribosomal RNA is filed under the name uncultured Bacteroidales bacterium. RNAcentral's name for it is "partial 16S ribosomal RNA". It matches the Rfam family "Bacterial small subunit ribosomal RNA", at positions 524 to 776 of the family's 1533-position model. The record is from RNAcentral. Lineage: Bacteria; Pseudomonadati; Bacteroidota; Bacteroidia; Bacteroidales.
UACGUAGGUGGCAAGCGUUAUCCGGAUUUAUUGGGUUUAAAGGGUGCGCAGGCGGUCUGUUAAGUCAGCGGUCAAAGCCCGGGGCUCAACCCCGGCCCGCCGUUGAAACUGGGGAUCUAGAGUGUGCGAGAGGUAUGCGGAAUGCGUGGUGUAGCGGUGAAAUGCAUAGAUAUCACGCAGAACUCCGAUUGCGAAGGCAGCGUACCGGCGCCAGACUGACGCUGAGGCACGAAAGCGUGGGGAUCGAACAGG